UACAGCCAUAUCACAUUGAAACACCAGUUCUUGUACAAUCACUAAAGUUAAGCAACGUUGAGCCUGGUCAGCACCUAGAUGGGUGACCAUUUGAGAAUACCAGGUGCUGUAAG
Molecule: non-coding RNA, 113 nt
Organism: Acanthosepion pharaonis
Lineage: Eukaryota; Metazoa; Mollusca; Cephalopoda; Sepiida; Sepiidae
Source: the annotation of a GenBank genome assembly